UUGUUUUUGAAUGCUAUUUUUCCCAAAUGAUUCAUUGUCAUUUUUUUUUGUUGAUUUUCCAUAAAACCCUGCUGAUUUUUUUUUUUUCAUGUUAAAUCAGCAAUGGCAAGUUCAACUCCAAGGGCAACCCCAAGGUUAGGAAGACAAAGAGAUAAAGCUUGGAAAUAUGGGAUUGCAGGAAGCAAAAAGGGGGAGGUCACUUGCACCGAAUGCACAAAAUGGAUGACUGGUGGAAUCAAUAGAUUAAAAUACCACCUUGCACAAAUACCUGGAUAUGGUGUGGAGGCAUGCCCCAAAUCAACUCCUGAAAUUAUUAGAGAGAUGAAGGCCAUUCUUGCUGAGAAUGAUAUGCAUAAGGAAGAAAGGCAAAAAACAAGAGAAGCCAUGGCAGUUGCAAUGAAUCCCACAUUGUCCACUUCGGGUCCCAUUGGUCACAGUCGGGGUCGUCAGUCACUUUCAUCUUUUGGUGACAAUGAGGGUGAGGCUAGUGGCACUCCUGUUAGAUCAGACCCUAAUUUUUUUGUACCACGCAAUGUUCCAGGUGCACAACCUUCACUUGAAGGUACAGGAUGGAAUAGAGAGAAGCAUGAACAAGCACGGAUAGCAGCUUCAAACUUUUGGUUUUACAAUAAUCUAUCUUUCAAUGCAGCAAACAAUGUGUAUUGGGAAAGUUUUGUUAAUGCAUGUACAGUGGCGGGUAAGGGGUUUAAGGCCCCAACAGGUCAUGACUUCAGUGGGCCAUUGCUAGAGAAAGCUGUGCAAAAUACACAAGGUGUGGUUGAUGAUCAGAAAAGGUAUUGGAAGAGAAAAGGAUGCAGCAUUUUAUCUGAUGGAUGGACAGAUGGACGGAAUAGGACUCUUCUCAACUUCUUGGUGGCUUCAAAUGGUGCAAUGGUAUUCAUAAAGUCUGUUGAUGCCUCAAAUGAAAUAAAAAAUGCAGAGACUUUGUGUAAUCUGUUGGAUGGUGUGGUUCGGGAAGUUGGAGUUGAGAAUGUUGUCCAAAUUAUCACGGACAACGCAGCUGCAUAUGUAUCUGCAGGUAGAAUGCUUAUGGAGAGGCAUCCUUCGAUUACAUGGAGUCCCUGUGCUGCACAUUGCUUGGACUUGGUGCUAGAGGACAUUGGGAAGAUUGGAUGGGUGAAGAAGGUGGUUGAAGAUGCAAAAAGUGUCACCAAAUUCAUCUACAACCAUACUUGGGUGCUUGCUUGGAUGAGAAAACACACAAAUGGCAAGGACCUUGUGCGACCUGGAGUGACACGAUUUGCUAGCCACUUCAUCACUUUGCAGAGCAUUCUUAGUGCCAUUCCUCAUCUUAAGCAGAUUUUUGUGUCAGAUGCUUGGUUGGGGUCUGCAUACUCCAAAAGACCUGAAGCAGAGAAGAUUGUGAGCAUUGUUUUUGAUGAAGGGUUCAAUAAAAGUGGAGAGUAGUUGACUGUGGUGACAGAACCUUUGGUAAGGGUUCUUCGUAUGGUGGAUGGAGAGGGUGUGCCAAUGGGUUUCAUUUAUGAGGCCAUGGAUAGGGCCAAAGAGGCCAUUUCACAUUACUAUCGUGGAAAUACAAGAAAAUGUGAAAUCCUUUGGCACAUCAUUGAUCGUAGGUGGACAAACCAACUCCACCAACCGAUACAUGUCUUCGCCUACUUUUUGAACCCGAAAUUCUACUUCUUUGAUUCAUUUAGGGCUGAUGAGGAGGUCAUGGCAGGUGUUAUUACAUGCAUUGAUAAGAUCACACCUGAUCCUGAGUUGAGAGACAAGGUUCUUGAUGAGUUGGAGAUCUACAAAAGUGCAGAGGGGAGACUCUUCUCAUCACAACUAGCAAUUGAUAGGAGAGGAAAACAACAACCAGAUUUAUGGUGCCGGCACGCCUAAUCUUCAAAAGAUAGCUAUCCGUGUUUUGUCUCAGCCAUGCAGUGCUUCUGGGUGUGAACGAAAUUGGAGUGUCUUUGAGAGCAUUCACACAAAGAAGAGAAAUAGAUUGUCACAAAAGCGGCUCAAUGAUCUAUUAUUUGUUCGGUACAACCUUCGCCUUCGAGUUAGACAGGGGGAGGGUGUUUCACAUGAGGCCAUUGACUUGGAUGAAAUUGAUCCAUAUGGUGAUUGGACCAUGAAUGAACAAAAUGAUGGUGAUGAUGUCCUUACCGAAGAAGAAAUUGCAGAAAUAGAGAGAGGAGUAGCACAAGAUGCAGAAGGAGCAAGAUUGGAUGAAGAUGAGGACGAAGAUGAGGAUGAUGAUGAGGACUUUGACUUUGAAGAAGAAUCAUCUCACCAUUUAGAUACCACAACACCCACUGCUACUACUUCUAGCUCAAGCCCUAAAAAACUGAGCUAUAUUAGGAAAAAUACAAAGAGGAAGAUGUAGUCUUCUCUUUGGUUUGUUCAUUCACAUUGUUGUUUUUCACAUUUGGAGUUGGAGUUGGACAUAUCAUUAUAUGUAAUUUUGUGAA
Molecule: RNA transcript, 2444 nt
Organism: Cryptomeria japonica (Japanese cedar)
Lineage: Eukaryota; Viridiplantae; Streptophyta; Pinopsida; Cupressales; Cupressaceae
Exons: 4
Source: RefSeq, a predicted model, not a curated record